Molecule: non-coding RNA, 76 nt
Organism: Cordylochernes scorpioides
Lineage: Eukaryota; Metazoa; Arthropoda; Arachnida; Pseudoscorpiones; Chernetidae
Source: the annotation of a GenBank genome assembly
CAGGUCUCUGCACCUAUUACUGAAACUCUUUCCAGCAAGGUGAAGACUUCAUUUGUGGAAGGUGAAGGUGCCUGCA